Molecule: ribosomal RNA, 252 nt
Filed under: uncultured bacterium
Lineage: Bacteria
Description: partial 16S ribosomal RNA
Rfam family: Bacterial small subunit ribosomal RNA
Source: RNAcentral
UACGGAGGGUGCAAGCGUUAAUCGGAAUUACUGGCGUAAAGCGUGCGUAGGCGGUUCGUUAAGUCUGCUGUGAAAGCCCCGGGCUCAACCUGGGAAUGGCAGUGGAUACUGGCGAGCUAGAGUGUGAUAGAGGAUGGUGGAAUUCCCGGUGUAGCGGUGAAAUGCGUAGAGAUCGGGAGGAACAUCAGUGGCGAAGGCGGCCAUCUGGAUCAACACUGACGCUGAGGCACGAAAGCGUGGGGAGCAAACAGG